RNAcentral lists this ribosomal RNA (460 nucleotides) under uncultured bacterium. RNAcentral's name for it is "partial 16S ribosomal RNA". It matches the Rfam family "Bacterial small subunit ribosomal RNA", at positions 338 to 795 of the family's 1533-position model. The record is from RNAcentral.
CCUACGGGUGGCAGCAGUGAGGAAUAUUGGUCAAUGGGCGGAAGCCUGAACCAGCCAAGUAGCGUGCAGGAUGACGGCCCUACGGGUUGUAAACUGCUUUUAUACGGGAAUAACGCGCCUUACGUGUAGGGCUUUGAGUGUACCGUAUGAAUAAGGACCGGCUAAUUCCGUGCCAGCAGCCGCGGUAAUACGGAAGGUCCGGGCGUUAUCCGGAUUUAUUGGGGUUAAAGGGCGCGUAGGCCGCAUAUCAAGCGUGCGGUGAAAUGUCCGGGCUCAACCCGGGCCUUGCAGCGCGAACUGGCGUGCUUGAGUCCGCGGAAAGCAGGCGGAAUUCGUCGUGUAGCGGUGAAAUGCUUAGAUAUGACGAAGAACCCCGAUUGCGAAGGCAGCUUGCUGCAGCGGAACUGACGCUGAUGCUCGAAAGCGCGGGUAUCGAACAGGAUUAGAUACCCGAGUAGUC